GGGCCUGUAGCUCAACGGUUAGAGCAGGGGACUCAUAAUCCCUUGGUUGGGGGUUCGAAUCCCUCCGGGCCCACCA
Molecule: transfer RNA, 76 nt
Filed under: Acidobacteriota bacterium
Lineage: Bacteria; Pseudomonadati; Acidobacteriota
Also listed under: 13 other names
Description: tRNA-Ile
Rfam family: tRNA
About the family: Transfer RNA (tRNA) molecules are approximately 80 nucleotides in length. Their secondary structure includes four short double-helical elements and three loops (D, anti-codon, and T loops).
Source: RNAcentral